CAUGAAGUUGGAUUCGCUAGUAAUCGCGCAUCAGCCAUGGCGCGGUGAAUACGUUCCCGGGCCUUGUACACACCGCCCGUCAAGCCAUGAGAGUCGCCAACACCCGAAGUCCGCUUUGCGGCCUAAGGUGGGGGAGAUGAUUGGGGUUAAGUCGUAACAAGGUACC
Molecule: ribosomal RNA, 166 nt
Filed under: uncultured bacterium
Lineage: Bacteria
Description: partial 16S ribosomal RNA
Rfam family: Bacterial small subunit ribosomal RNA
Source: RNAcentral